AUUGAACGCUGGCGGCAUGCCUUACACAUGCAAGUCGAACGGCAGCACGGGAGCAAUCCUGGUGGCGAGUGGCGAACGGGUGAGUAAAGUAUCGGAACGUGCCCAGUCGUGGGGGAUAACGUAGCGAAAGUUACGCUAAUACCGCAUACGAUCUAUGGAUGAAAGCGGGGGAUCGCAAGACCUCGCGCGAUUGGAGCGGCCGAUAUCAGAUUAGGUAGUUGGUGGGGUAAAGGCUCACCAAGCCGACGAUCUGUAGCUGGUCUGAGAGGACGACCAGCCACACUGGGACUGAGACACGGCCCAGACUCCUACGGGAGGCAGCAGUGGGGAAUUUUGGACAAUGGGCGAAAGCCUGAUCCAGCCAUGCCGCGUGCAGGAUGAAGGCCUUCGGGUUGUAAACUGCUUUUGUACGGAACGAAAAGGUUUGGGCUAAUAAGCUGAGCUCAUGACGGUACCGUAAGAAUAAGCACCGGCUAACUACGUGCCAGCAGCCGCAGUAA
This 500-nucleotide ribosomal RNA is filed under the name uncultured bacterium. RNAcentral describes it as "partial 16S ribosomal RNA". It matches the Rfam family "Bacterial small subunit ribosomal RNA", at positions 30 to 523 of the family's 1533-position model. The record is from RNAcentral.